GACGAACGCUGGCGGCGUGCUUAACACAUGCAAGUCGAACGGAAAGGCCCUGCUUUUGUGGGGUGCUCGAGUGGCGAACGGGUGAGUAACACGUGAGUAACCUGCCCUUGACUUUGGGAUAACUUCAGGAAACUGGGGCUAAUACCGGAUAGGAGCUCCUGCUGCCUGGUUGGGGUUGGAAAGUUUCGGCGGUGGGGGAUGGACUCGAGGCUUAUCAGCUUGUUGGUGGGGUAGUGGCUUACCAAGGCUUUGACGGGUAGCCGGCCUGAGAGGGUGACCGGCCACAUUGGGACUGGGAUACGGCCGAGACUCCUACGGGAGGCAGAAGUGGGGAAUAUUGCACAAUGGGCGGAAGCCUGAUGCAGCAACGCCGCGUGCGGGAUGACGGCCUUCGGGUUGUAAACCGCUUUCGCCUGUGACGAAGCGUGAGUGACGGUAAUGGGUAAAGAAGCACCGGCUAACUACGUG
RNAcentral lists this ribosomal RNA (468 nucleotides) under uncultured bacterium. RNAcentral describes it as "partial 16S ribosomal RNA". It matches the Rfam family "Bacterial small subunit ribosomal RNA", at positions 28 to 507 of the family's 1533-position model. The record is from RNAcentral.